GAGGGUCGAAAGAAGAGUGAAAGGCCUA
This 28-nucleotide non-coding RNA is filed under the name Homo sapiens (human). The record is from RNAcentral. Lineage: Eukaryota; Metazoa; Chordata; Mammalia; Primates; Hominidae.